AUGUCUGAGGUUAUAUAGGAUGACCUGAUCUGACACUUGAGUCAGACUUGCCGGUAUUCCAGUUUGCCCUACCCCUCCCUGGGUUUGUCACCUUGAAAAUUUUUUUUUCACUUACUUACUUAUAAUAGAGUCAGGGUCUCACUACAUUGCCUAGGCUGACCUCAAACUCCCGGGCUCAAGCGAUCUUCCUGCCUCAAACUCCCAAAGUGCUGGGAUUACAGGUGUGAGCCACUGCACCCAGCCUGAACCUCAGUUUUUAAAAAAUUAAAUAUCAAAUGGAUUUUAUUAGUAGAGUUUGAUAGACAAGAUAGAAUAUAUCCAAGGAGGCAAGAAAGAGGUGUAUUUCAGAAAAAAAAGAAAAAAGAAAAGAAAUGUCUAGCCUUAUAUUUCAUCCAUUAAUUUUUUUUUUUUUUGAGACAGAGUCUUGAUCUGUUGCCCAGCCUGGAGUACAGUGGUGCCAUCUCGGCUCACUGCAACCUCCGCCUCCCAGGUUCAAGUGAUUCUCCUGCCUCAGCCUCCGGAGUAGCUGGGAUUACAGGCACCUGCCACCACACCUGGCUAAUUUUUGUAUUUUUAGUAGAGAUGGUGUUUCACCAUGUUUGCCAGGCUGGUCUCGAACUUCUGACCUCAAAUGAUCCACCGGCUGGCCUCCCAAAGUGCUCGGAUUACAGGCAUGAGCCACCCAUCAUCCGAUAAAGCUUUUAAUUUACAUUUUGUCUUACCCAGAUGGCGUGUGAUACAUUUCUCAUAUUUGUUCUUUUCUUUUGGGUGAUUUCAAAUGGAAUUCCAGGGCUUAGCCUUGAGAAGGCUACUGGGGCUGAGAAUCUCAGCAAAAGUGAGAACUUGUGACGGUGAAUAACUCUUCUCUUUCCUGGUACCUGGACUUCAGAGAUUAAUACAAAACCCUGUGGGUCAGGACUUGGCAACACCAAGAAGCAUUCAAAUAUAAUGAUUUAUUCAACUGUGUAUUGUCAUGGAAAUAAUAAUUAAAUGGCACAUCUUUGUUGUCUGAAAGGGAUAGAUACUUGUGCUUCUCUUGUUGAGCUAUAUAAAA
Long non-coding RNA from Homo sapiens (human), 1054 nucleotides. Ensembl annotates it as UCA1 antisense RNA 1. Its record names the gene UCA1-AS1. The record is from Ensembl. Lineage: Eukaryota; Metazoa; Chordata; Mammalia; Primates; Hominidae.